Long non-coding RNA from Homo sapiens (human), 3208 nucleotides. RefSeq lists it as uncharacterized. The transcript is spliced from 2 exons. Lineage: Eukaryota; Metazoa; Chordata; Mammalia; Primates; Hominidae. The record is from RefSeq and is a predicted model, not a curated record.
AUCCUGUUGUCAUUGGAGAAGAUACUUUGCAUGAUAUCUAUUUUUAAAAAUACAUUGAUACUUAACCUGUGGCCUAACAUAUGGUCUAUCCUGGAGAAUGAUCCACAUGCAAUUGAAUGUACUUUCUGUUGUUGUUGAGUGGAAUGUUCUACAUAUGUCUGUUAGAUUUCAUUGAUUUAUCCCUUUAUUGCUUUUUUCCAUACUUUCUAAACUGUAUAUUAUAGUAUUCAAGUCCUUUUGUAGUCAGCUUCAUAACAAGGUUUUCUGAGACUCAUAUCUCACUAAACCCAAGCUCAUUUUAUGUGAUAGUCACAUGGAAUCAGUUGCCGGCCUGCACGCAACAUGCCUUUUCAUCCGUUAUUGUCUCUACCCACAGUAUCCUUACUUCAUUCUCUACUCAGAACUUCCAAUGCUUCUUUCAAGACUCAGAACAAAAGAGGGAGAAUGUGUAGACCUCUACAGGCUUCUUUGGAUUCCCUUCCUCAGCUCCUUUCGCACUCUGUGUCACCUACCUUAUGUGUGUAUCACACUGGAUUGUAAAUGUUUGAAAUGUCCAUACCUUUUAGACCUAAAAAAAUUCUCAGUGCCAAUACUAAAUUGGCUACAUAAUUAGAAAAGAUUCAUUUUCUGAACUGAAUUACAGAAUUUGGCAGCCAUUUCAUGGUUAGCUCCCUAAAUGGCCACCCUCAAUUGGUGAAAACUUCCAAGGUAGAGACAGUACUCAAUCAAUAGAAUUCUCAUUGUUUCUUCUCUGUCCACAGCUCCCCACAGCCCUUAUAACACAAGGCAGACACUAAAUCACUGCAUAAAAGUGGAAAGAAUCAAAGGCUGAAUCUCCAUCCUGUUAUCUUCUCUACUCAAAGCUUCUGUGGACAUGCACGUGUGUCUUCUGGUUUUCCUGCCCCCUUGAUGAAGGACAAAUGGUGUUUCCAUUGCUCAUUGUGUUCAAGGAAGGAGGGCUUAGUUCUGCGAGUUUCUGGGGUUUAAUUUGAUGAAUUCAUCUGCUCAUUGCUUACUGAUUAGAAAUUUCUGUCACAUUGUAGGAUAGCAGAGAGUUCAAGAUUAUUGGGACUAUGAGCAUAUCAUUUUUGUUCCAUUUAAAUUGCUAUGAAAUGGAACAUUAAGCUUGGCAUAGAUCACGUUUCAAUAUCAUUCUUAGCUGUCUGAAACUUGCAUAAUUAACCAUCGUAAAAUUUGGUCAGCUAUAUAAUCAGUCAGCUGCAAAAGGACACCACGAGCAAGGGAGCAUCAUUGGAGCCAUGGCAUAUAUUGUAUGCUGUGGACAAAUACUACUUAACAUAAGAAAGCACACAUAUGUGCAGGACAAUCUUACUUCAUUGUCUCACAGGACAAACCCAACUGCUCUUCAAAACGGGUCAAGGAAAGCAAGAUGGAGGAGUGCCACAAGAUUAUACUUAUGGGAAGAGACUGGGCAUGUUCAGGGUGGUAUGGGUAUGGACAAGACUAUAUUUUUCAUGAGUUAGUGUUGAUGAUGCAUGUGCUGCCAAUCUUUCUCUCCCUCCUUGGGGCUCAGAUUCCAAAAGGUAUACAUGACCGAUUUUGAUAUUCAUGCUAGCUACUUUCUGGUAAAAUAUGGUGAGAAGCAGGGAGCCAGCUGGAAGUUUUCAUUGAUUUGGAAUUAUCUGUAGUAUCAAAAAGACAGAAUCCAGAUGUGCCUGUCAUUGUUUAAUUGGUCUUUCCUCUUUUGUUCUCCUUAUACCAUCCCCUGCCAUGAGUCUUAUCUCUAUUUCUGUUACAUGAGGGAGCAUCCUAGCUUCCAUGAUGUCCUUUCCUUUCCCUCCUUUCAGUAGGUUUGCAGCUUAGUUAGGGUCAAUCCCUGCUUCUGAUUUUCAUGUGACAUGGAAACUCUGAAUAAGAAGCCCUAGUAAAACUUGGCUCUUGUGAUAACUCACAACAUUACAUGUGUGUUAUGUCCUGCGGCCUGGAUACUUCUUGCUAUCUACUCUACAUAAAUGUGAAGCUUAGCAAGUAAAGCAACAGCAGCUUGUUAUUUCUCAGGAUUUUGUGGGUUUGCUGAGCUGAGCUGAGCAGAUCUUCUGCUCCACUUGGUGUCAGCUGGGAUUGCUCUUGCGUCCACCUUCAGCUGAAGGCCUGGUUGGGUCUGGCACUUUCAGAACAGCCUCUCUCACAUGCCUAGCCAUUGGUGUUGUGUAAGAGCUCACUCUUAACAGUUUCUACUUGCUUCCUUAGACAGUAGUGACAGGGGCCCAAGAGAGUAAAAGCAAAUGCUUUCAGUCCUGUUAAGGGCUAGACCUAAAACCUGCACCUGUCCAACAACUCACAAGUUCAACCCCUAUGUAAACGAAUGGAAAAUAAACAUAAUUCCUUGACAAAGGAGGAGCAUUCACACACAGAGGAGGGAGCAGUUGUUGGAGCCCAUCUUCAAAGACCACUGACCACACUCCGGUUCAGUUCAGACUUCUCACAAACACCCUUACAGGGUCCUGUGGACCACUAAUCCCAGGAUGCGAAUUAGAAAGGGAAGAGUGUUAGGGCUGGCUGUGUACGAAGCCUUCACAUGCUUCACACCCAAAAACUCAGGAUGAGGUUGAGCCCCUCUUCCUUGAGCUGCCACCCUGCCAGAUGUUGCUUCCAUUGCAACAUGAACAACACUAAUUGCAAAGAGUUUACUGGGAUAUUUUUUGAAAGAGGACCUAGUUUUCACUUUGAUUAAACUUCUUAUCCCAAACCACAGGUUUUCCCUUUAUCAAGAAGACCUGAAGCAAAGAGAGGGUGGUGAUCUGUCCAGGUAAGGAAGCUGCUCUUACCUUACAACUUUCGUGGUAUUGCUUGGCCCUUCUAGUCAUCAGAAACGCUCUUUGCUUAGGUUUCACCUUAACACCGUAGUCAAUCAACUGGAUGUUUUUGUUCAAAGUCUUCAUCCAGCUAACUUUGACCUCAAUAGAGAAACAUGGGAGAUGACUGGCUGAAUAGUUUAUUUUUCCCACAAAUGCUUUAGCAUUAUAUAGACAUGGAUGUAGUGUGUCCUCAGGCAUCAUAAGGAACUGACAAUUUUUGGUUUUGAAAAAUGAACUAAACUUGUCCCGAUAAUUUUGCCUGGCACUGCAACUCAAUGAAUAAUUCAGCUAAUUUACACCACAGUCAUUUGUACAUUAUGAGUGUACACGCUUUGAAAGUAUUUCUGUACCUUUGUCAUAUUGCCUAUUAAAUGUGUUCUGAAAAUAGA